This 253-nucleotide ribosomal RNA is filed under the name uncultured bacterium. RNAcentral describes it as "partial 16S ribosomal RNA". It matches the Rfam family "Bacterial small subunit ribosomal RNA", at positions 524 to 776 of the family's 1533-position model. The record is from RNAcentral.
UACGUAGGGUGCGAGCGUUAAUCGGAAUUACUGGGCGUAAAGCGUGCGCAGGCGGCUUUGCAAGUCAGACGUGAAAGCCCCGGGCUUAACCUGGGAAUGGCGUUUGAAACUACGGAGCUGGAGUAUGGCAGAGGGGGGUGGAAUUCCACGUGUAGCGGUGAAAUGCGUAGAUAUGUGGAGGAACACCGAUGGCGAAGGCAGCCCCCUGGGCCAAUACUGACGCUCAUGCACGAAAGCGUGGGGAGCAAACAGG